AAUAGAUACCCAGGUAGUCCACGCCGUAAACGAUGAGUGCUAAGUGUUAGGGGGUUUCCGCCCCUUAGUGCUGCAGCUAACGCAUUAAGCACUCCGCCUGGGGAGUACGGUCGCAGGACUGAAACUCAAAGGAAUUGACGGGGGCCCGCACAAGCGGUGGAGCAUGUGGUUUAAUUCGAAGCAACGCGAAGAACCUUACCAGGUCUUGACAUCCUCUGACAAUCCUAGAGAUAGGACGUCCCCUUCGGGGGCAGAGUGACAGGUGGUGCAUGGUUGUCGUCAGCUCGUGUCGUGAGAUGUUGGGUUAAGUCCCGCAACGAGCGCAACCCUUGAUCUUAGUUGCCAGCAUUCAGUUGGGCACUCUAAGGUGACUGCCGGUGACAAACCGGAGGAAGGUGGGGAUGACGUCAAAUCAUCAUGCCCCUUAUGACUUGGGCUACACACGUGCUACAAUGGACAGAACAAAGGGCAGCGAAACCGCGAGGUUAAGCCAAUCCCACAAAUCUGUUCUCAGUUCGGAUCGC
Molecule: ribosomal RNA, 524 nt
Filed under: uncultured bacterium
Lineage: Bacteria
Description: bacterial SSU rRNA
Rfam family: Bacterial small subunit ribosomal RNA
Source: RNAcentral